This 429-nucleotide ribosomal RNA is filed under the name Gemmatimonadota bacterium. RNAcentral describes it as "Gemmatimonadetes bacterium partial 16S ribosomal RNA". It matches the Rfam family "Bacterial small subunit ribosomal RNA", at positions 355 to 776 of the family's 1533-position model. The record is from RNAcentral. Lineage: Bacteria; Pseudomonadati; Gemmatimonadota.
UAGGGAAUCUUCGGCAAUGGACGAAAGUCUGACCGAGCAACGCCGCGUGAGUGAAGAAGGUUUUCGGAUCGUAAAACUCUGUUGUUAGAGAAGAACAAGGACGUUAGUAACUGAACGUCCCCUGACGGUAUCUAACCAGAAAGCCACGGCUAACUACGUGCCAGCAGCCGCGGUAAUACGUAGGUGGCAAGCGUUGUCCGGAUUUAUUGGGCGUAAAGCGAGCGCAGGCGGUUUCUUAAGUCUGAUGUGAAAGCCCCCGGCUCAACCGGGGAGGGUCAUUGGAAACUGGGGGACUUGAGUGCAGAAGAGGAGAGUGGAAUUCCAUGUGUAGCGGUGAAAUGCGUAGAUAUAUGGAGGAAAACCAGUGGCGAAGGCGGCUCUCUGGUCUGUAACUGACGCUGAGGCUCGAAAGCGUGGGGAGCAAACAGG